UAAAUAUAUUGAAUGAAGAGUUUGAUCCUGGCUCAGGAUGAACGCUGACAGAAUGCUUAACACAUGCAAGUCUUUGGCGAAGCUGUGCUUGCACAGCCUAGCCAAGGCGGACGGGUGAGUAACGCGUAAGGAACUUGCCCUGCAGUCAGGGAUAACAGACGGAAACGACUGAUAAGACCUGGUAAAGUCAGGCGGGCUCAUGUCCAGCCUGAUGAAAAGAGAUGCUGCAGGAGAGCCUUGCGUCCUAUUAGCUUGUUGGUGGGGUAACGGCCCACCAAGGCGAUGAUAGGUAGCCGGCCUGAGAGGGUGGACGGCCACAAGGGGACUGAGAUACGGCCCUUACUCCUACGGGAGGCAGCAGUGGGGAAUAUUGGACAAUGGGGGCAACCCUGAUCCAGCAAUUCUGUGUGCACGAUGAAGGUUUUCGGAUUGUAAAGUGCUUUCAGCAGGGAAGAAAAAAAUGACGGUACCUGCAGAAGAAGCGACGGCUAAAUACGUGCCAGCAGCCGCGGUAAUACGUAUGUCGCAAGCGUUAUCCGGAAUUAUUGGGCAUAAAGGGCAUCUAGGCGGCCAGAUAAGUCUGGGGUGAAAACUUGCGGCUCAACCGCAAGCCUGCCCUGGAAACUAUGUGGCUAGAGUACUGGAGAGGUGGACGGAACUGCACGAGUAGAGGUGAAAUUCGUAGAUAUGUGCAGGAAUGCCGAUGAUGAAGAUAGUUCACUGGACGGUAACUGACGCUGAAGUGCGAAAGCUAGGGGAGCAAACAGGAUUAGAUACCCUGGUAGUCCUAGCUGUAAACGAUGAUUACUGGGUGUGGGCAUGAAGAGUGUCCGUGCCGAAGCUAAUGCGAUAAGUAAUCCGCCUGGGGAGUACGGCCGCAAGGCUGAAACUCAAAGGAAUUGACGGGGACCCGCACAAGCGGUGGAGCAUGUGGUUUAAUUCGACGCAACGCGAGGAACCUUACCAGAUCUUGACAUCCUGCGAAGGCCUGCGAGAGCAGGCUGUGCCUCCGGGAACGCAGAGACAGGUGGUGCAUGGCUGUCGACAGCUCGUGUCGUGAGAUGUUGGGUUAAGUCCCGCAACGAGCGCAACCCCUAUUGCUAGUUGCCAUCAUUAGGUUGGGAACUCUAGCAAGACUGCCUGCGAAGAGCAGGAGGAAGGUGGGGAUGACGUCAAGUCAUCAUGCCCCUUAUGAUCUGGGCUACACACGUGCUACAAUGGCCGGUACAGAGAGCCGCAAGGCGGCAACGCCAAGCCAAUCUUUAAAGCCGGUCCAAGUUCGGAUUGAAGUCUGCAACUCGACUUCAUGAAGCUGGAAUCGCUAGUAAUCGCAGAUCAGCAAUGCUGCGGUGAAUACGUUCUCGGGUCUUGUACACACCGCCCGUCACACCACGAGAGUUGUCUGCACCUGAAGCUGCCGGUCCAACCGCAAGGAGGAAAGCAUCUAAGGUGUGGAUAGUGAUUGGGGUGAAGUCGUAACAAGGUAUCCGUACCGGAAGGUGCGGAUGGAUCACCUCCUUUCUAAGGAG
RNAcentral lists this ribosomal RNA (1529 nucleotides) under Leptotrichia sp. oral taxon 417. RNAcentral's name for it is "bacterial SSU rRNA". It matches the Rfam family "Bacterial small subunit ribosomal RNA". The record is from RNAcentral. Lineage: Bacteria; Fusobacteriati; Fusobacteriota; Fusobacteriia; Fusobacteriales; Leptotrichiaceae.